Molecule: transfer RNA, 63 nt
Filed under: Ruditapes variegatus
Lineage: Eukaryota; Metazoa; Mollusca; Bivalvia; Venerida; Veneridae
Also listed under: 1 other name
Description: tRNA-Asp
Source: RNAcentral
AACAGGGUAGUUUAGAAAAAAUGUAAGAUUGUCAUUCUUAGGAGGGCGUGGUGUCCCCUGUUU